Homo sapiens (human) is the source of this 355-nucleotide long non-coding RNA. The record is from Ensembl. Lineage: Eukaryota; Metazoa; Chordata; Mammalia; Primates; Hominidae.
UUUCACCUGCAGUUGAAGAUCCGUGAGGUGCCCAGAAGAUCAUGCAGUCAUCAGUCCCACGGAGCAGCCUGCGAGGCUGAGGCUCCUCCCACUGGACCGCCCCCCAACUGGCACCACUGCUGCCCCUGCCCCUACUCUCAGCCUCACGUGACUCUCGGGCAGAAGCAGUGGUGGGGCAGCCAGGGCAGCGUCAAGAGUCUGAGCCAGCUGCAGGACAAGUUCGAGCAUCUUAAAAUGAUUCAACAGGAGGAGAUAAGGAAGCUCGAGGAAGAGAAAAAACAACUGGAAGGAGAAAUCAUAGAUUUUUAUAAAAUGAAAGCUGCCUCUGAAGCACUGCAGACUCAGCUGAGCACCG